This 499-nucleotide ribosomal RNA is filed under the name uncultured bacterium. RNAcentral's name for it is "partial 16S ribosomal RNA". It matches the Rfam family "Bacterial small subunit ribosomal RNA", at positions 30 to 523 of the family's 1533-position model. The record is from RNAcentral.
AUUGAGCGCUGGCGGCAUGCCUUACACAUGCAAGUCGAACGGCAGCACGGGAGCAAUCCUGGUGGCGAGUGGCGAACGGGUGAGUAAUGUAUCGGAACGUGCCCAGUCGUGGGGGAUAACGUAGCGAAAGCUACGCUAAUACCGCAUGCGAUCUAUGGAUGAAAGCGGGGGAUCGCAGGACCUCGCGCGAUUGGAGCGGCCGAUAUCAGAUUAGGUAGUUGGUGGGGUAAAGGCUCACCAAGCCGACGAUCUGUAGCUGGUCUGAGAGGACGACCAGCCACACUGGGACUGAGACACGGCCCAGACUCCUACGGGAGGCAGCAGUGGGGAAUUUUGGACAAUGGGCGAAGCCUGAUCCAGCAAUGCCGCGUGCAGGAUGAAGGCCUUCGGGUUGUAAACUGCUUUUGUACGGAGCGAAACGGCGAACUCUAAUACAGUUUGCUAAUGACGGUACCGUAAGAAUAAGCACCGGCUAACUACGUGCCAGCAGCCGCCGUAA